RNAcentral lists this ribosomal RNA (253 nucleotides) under uncultured bacterium. Its description in RNAcentral is "partial 16S ribosomal RNA". It matches the Rfam family "Bacterial small subunit ribosomal RNA", at positions 524 to 776 of the family's 1533-position model. The record is from RNAcentral.
UACAGAGGGGGCAAGCGUUGUUCGGAAUUACUGGGCGUAAAGGGCGCGUAGGCGGCCCGCUAAGUCGAACGUGUAAUCCCCGAGCUCAACUCGGGAACUGCGUCCGAUACUGGCGGGCUUGAAUCCGGGAGAGGGAUGCGGAAUUCCAGGUGUAGCGGUGAAAUGCGUAGAUAUCUGGAGGAACACCGGUGGCGAAGGCGGCAUCCUGGACCGGCAUUGACGCUGAGGCGCGAAAGCUAGGGGAGCAAACGGG